GACGAACGCUGGCGGCGUGCUUAACACAUGCAAGUCGAACGGAAAGGCCCUGCGUUUGUGGGGUGCUCGAGUGGCGAACGGGUGAGUAACACGUGAGUAACCUGCCCUUGACUUUGGGAGAACUUCAGGAAACUGGGGCUAAUACCGGAGAGGAGCUCCUGCUGCACGGUGGGGGAUGGAAAGUGUCGGCGGUUGGGGCUGGUCUCGCGGCUUAUCAGCUUGUUGGUGAGGUAGUGGCUUCCCAAGGCUUCGACGGGUAGCCGGCGUGAGAGGUUGACCGGCCACCUUGCGCCUGCGGUACGGCCCAGUCUCCUACGGGCGGCAGCAGUGGGGAAUCUUGCGCAAUGGGCGGACGCCUGAUGCAGCAGCGCCGCGUGCGGGAUGCCGGCCUUCGGGUUGUGAACCGCUUUCGCCUUUGCCGAAGCCUUAGUGACGGUACUGGGUCAAGAAGCCCCGGCUAACUACGUG
RNAcentral lists this ribosomal RNA (468 nucleotides) under uncultured bacterium. RNAcentral describes it as "partial 16S ribosomal RNA". It matches the Rfam family "Bacterial small subunit ribosomal RNA", at positions 28 to 507 of the family's 1533-position model. The record is from RNAcentral.